UACGUAGGUGGCGAGCGUUGUCCGGAUUUACUGGGCGUGAAGGGAGCGUAGGCGGACUUUUAAGUGAGAUGUGAAAUACUCGGGCUCAACUUGAGUGCUGCAUUUCAAACUGGAAGUCUGGAGUGCAGGAGAGGAGAAUGGAAUUCCUAGUGUAGCGGUGAAAUGCGUAGAGAUUAGGAAGAACACCAGUGGCGAAGGCGAUUCUCUGGACUGUAACUGACGCUGAGGCUCGAAAGCGUGGGGAGCAAACAGG
Molecule: ribosomal RNA, 253 nt
Filed under: uncultured bacterium
Lineage: Bacteria
Description: partial 16S ribosomal RNA
Rfam family: Bacterial small subunit ribosomal RNA
Source: RNAcentral